RNAcentral lists this ribosomal RNA (226 nucleotides) under uncultured Blastocystis sp. RNAcentral describes it as "partial small subunit ribosomal RNA". It matches the Rfam family "Eukaryotic small subunit ribosomal RNA", at positions 68 to 312 of the family's 1831-position model. Lineage: Eukaryota; Bigyra; Opalinata; Blastocystidae. The record is from RNAcentral.
UAAAUAGUUAACUUUGAAACUGCGAAUGGCUCAUUAUAUCAGUUAUAGUUUAUUUGAUGAAGAAUACUAAUUGGAUAACCGUAGUAAUUCUAGAGCUAAUACAUGUAUAAAGUCUUGUAGACUGCAUUUAUUAGAAUGAAAACCAUAGGUUUCGGCCUAUUCGUGAGUAAUAAUAACUAAUCAUAUCGUAUGCUUAUGUAACGAUGUGUCUUUCAAGUUUCUGCCC